AAUAAAGAUUGUGGAAUGAUUGCAAGCCUGGAGCUCCAGUGAGGAAGCAGAAAUGAGCAUUUUGGCACUUGAGGAUGUGAAUUUGGUGUCAGCUUUAUCCCUGUUUUCAUCUUUUAUCAUCAGAACAUCAAACAUGCUCCACUUCAGCCACUCUGUGCCUGUGAUAGCCAAGGGAGAGUGUCUUUUUAACCAGAAAUAGCAAAGUGGAGCUGGAAUAAUUCAUUAAAGAAUUAAUCUGUUGGCCUCAAACGGCUACCAGCAGGGACAUACUUAUUUUUAGGAAAACAGAACACCUGCAAGAGUUCGUCAAAGUGAAGCUUAUAAGAUUGGACAAAUGAUGGUUAAUGAACAUGAGAAAAACCUCUCGUUCACAGAAAGCAUGGAUACAACAAUUCCAUAAACAUUUCCACAAAAAACCCUACACUCUGCAAAUGGUGAACAAUACUGGAGAGAAACGAAGCUGAAACUGACCUGCUGAUCAGAAUUUGAAUGAAUGCUGUGAAAGUUAAUAUGGCUUGUGUAAUUAUGGAGGGAGUUAAAUAUGCUUUCAUGGGGACCGAAUUUGCUCCAUGAAUUCUAAAUGAGCCACUGGAUAAUUUCAGUUA
Apus apus (common swift) is the source of this 605-nucleotide long non-coding RNA. RefSeq lists it as uncharacterized. The transcript is spliced from 4 exons. The record is from RefSeq and is a predicted model, not a curated record. NCBI's taxonomy places the organism in Eukaryota, Metazoa, Chordata, Aves, Apodiformes, Apodidae.